GAUGAACGCUAGCUACAGGCUUAACACAUGCAAGUCGAGGGGAAACGCCAUCGAAAGCUUGCUUUUGAUGGGCGUCGACCGGCGCACGGGUGAGUAACGCGUAUCCAACCUGCCCAUCACUUGGGAAUAACCUUGCGAAAGUAAGACUAAUACCCAAUGACAUCCCACGAAGACAUCUGAAUGGGAUUAAAGAUUUAUCGGUGAUGGAUGGGGAUGCGUCUGAUUAGCUUGUUGGCGGGGUAACGGCCCACCAAGGCAACGAUCAGUAGGGGUUCUGAGAGGAAGGUCCCCCACAUUGGAACUGAGACACGGUCCAAACUCCUACGGGAGGCAGCAGUGAGGAAUAUUGGUCAAUGGGCGAGAGCCUGAACCAGCCAAGUAGCGUGCAGGAUGACGGCCCUAUGGGUUGUAAACUGCUUUUAUAAGGGAAUAAAGUGGGUCUCGUGAGACUUUUUGCAUGUACCUUAUGAAUAAGGACCGGCUAAGUCCGUG
RNAcentral lists this ribosomal RNA (492 nucleotides) under uncultured bacterium. RNAcentral's name for it is "partial 16S ribosomal RNA". It matches the Rfam family "Bacterial small subunit ribosomal RNA", at positions 28 to 507 of the family's 1533-position model. The record is from RNAcentral.